GUGGAGCAGUUGGUAGCUCGUCGGGCUCAUAACCCGAAGGUCAUAGGUUCAAGUCCUAUC
RNAcentral lists this transfer RNA (60 nucleotides) under Clostridium haemolyticum. RNAcentral's name for it is "tRNA-Met". It matches the Rfam family "tRNA", at positions 7 to 64 of the family's 71-position model. From Rfam's summary of the family: Transfer RNA (tRNA) molecules are approximately 80 nucleotides in length. Their secondary structure includes four short double-helical elements and three loops (D, anti-codon, and T loops). The record is from RNAcentral. Lineage: Bacteria; Bacillati; Bacillota; Clostridia; Eubacteriales; Clostridiaceae.